CUGGGAGGACCAUCUCCUAAGGCUAAAUACUCUCUAGUGACCGAUAGUGAACCAGUACCGUGAGGGAAAGGUGAAAAGCACCCCGGAAGGGGAGUGAAAUAGAACCUGAAACCGUGUGCUUACAAGUAGUCAGAGCCCGUUAAUGGGUGAUGGCGUGCCUUUUGUAGAAUGAACCGGCGAGUUACGAUUUGAUGCAAGGUUAAGCAGUAAAUGUGGAGCCGUAGCGAAAGCGAGUCUGAAUAGGGCGUUUAGUAUUUGGUCGUAGACCCGAAACCAGGUGAUCUACCCUUGGUCAGGUUGAAGUUCAGGUAACACUGAAUGGAGGACCGAACCGACUUACGUUGAAAAGUGAGCGGAUGAACUGAGGGUAGCGGAGAAAUUCCAAUCGAACCUGGAGAUAGCUGGUUCUCUCCGAAAUAGCUUUAGGGCUAGCCUCAAGUGAUGAUUAUUGGAGGUAGAGCACUGUUUGGACGAGGGGCCCCUCUCGGGUUACCGAAUUCAGACAAACUCCGAAUGCCAAUUAAUUUAACUUGGGAGUCAGAACAUGGGUGAUAAGGUCCGUGUUCGAAAGGGAAACAGCCCAGACCACCAGCUAAGGUCCCAAAAUAUAUGUUAAGUGGAAAAGGAUGUGGCGUUGCCCAGACAACUAGGAUGUUGGCUUAGAAGCAGCCAUCAUUUAAAGAGUGCGUAAUAGCUCACUAGUCGAGUGACACUGCGCCGAAAAUGUACCGGGGCUAAACAUAUUACCGAAGCUGUGGAUUGUCCUUUGGACAAUGGUAGGAGAGCGUUCUAAGGGCGUUGAAGCAUGAUCGUAAGGACAUGUGGAGCGCUUAGAAGUGAGAAUGCCGGUGUGAGUAGCGAAAGACGGGUGAGAAUCCCGUCCACCGAUUGACUAAGGUUUCCAGAGGAAGGCUCGUCCGCUCUGGGUUAGUCGGGUCCUAAGCUGAG
This 948-nucleotide ribosomal RNA is filed under the name Staphylococcus aureus. RNAcentral describes it as "partial 23S ribosomal RNA". It matches the Rfam family "Bacterial large subunit ribosomal RNA", at positions 444 to 1400 of the family's 2925-position model. The record is from RNAcentral. Lineage: Bacteria; Bacillati; Bacillota; Bacilli; Caryophanales; Staphylococcaceae.